RNAcentral lists this transfer RNA (81 nucleotides) under Pseudomuriella schumacherensis. RNAcentral describes it as "tRNA-Leu". It matches the Rfam family "tRNA". From Rfam's summary of the family: Transfer RNA (tRNA) molecules are approximately 80 nucleotides in length. The record is from RNAcentral. Lineage: Eukaryota; Viridiplantae; Chlorophyta; Chlorophyceae; Sphaeropleales; Pseudomuriellaceae.
GCCUUCGUGAUGGAAUUGGUAGACAUCCCGGUUUUAGGAACCGGUGCCUAGUGCGUGUCGGUUCGAGUCCGACCGAAGGCA